Molecule: ribosomal RNA, 253 nt
Filed under: uncultured bacterium
Lineage: Bacteria
Description: partial 16S ribosomal RNA
Rfam family: Bacterial small subunit ribosomal RNA
Source: RNAcentral
UACGUAGGGUGCAAGCGUUAAUCGGAAUUACUGGGCGUAAAGGGUGCGCAGGCGGCCCCGCAUGUCAGGCGUGAAAUCCCCGAGCUCAACUUGGGAAUGGCGCUUGAAACUACGGGGCUGGAGUGUGGCAGAGGGAGGUGGAAUUCCACGUGUAGCGGUGAAAUGAGUAGAUAUGUGGAGGAACACCGAUGGCGAAGGCAGCCUCCUGGGCCAACACUGACGCUCAUGCACGAAAGCGUGGGGAGCAAACAGG